UUCGCCCUUUUCCGGUUGAUCCUGCCGGACCCCACUGCUAUCGGGAUAGGACUAAGACAUGCUAGUCGAGCGUUUCCAAGCUAUGAUGGAAGCGCGGCGUACAGCUCAGUAACACGUGGCUAACCUGCCCUUGGGACGGAACCAACCCUGGGAAACUGGGAUUAAUGUCCGAUAGGCGAAGAUUCCUGGAAUGGAUCUUUACUUAAAAGGUGCUUUGAUCAUGCUUCCUAGCGCUGCCCAAGGAUGGGGCCGCGGCCGAUCAGGUUGUUGGUGAGGUAACGGCUCACCAAGCCGUUGACCGGUACGGGCCGUGAGAGCGGGAGCCUGGAGAUGGGCACUGAGACAAGGGCCCAGGUCCUACGGGGCGCAGCAGUCACGAAACCUCCGCAAUGCACGAAAGUGUGACGGGGU
Molecule: ribosomal RNA, 411 nt
Filed under: uncultured archaeon
Lineage: Archaea
Description: bacterial SSU rRNA
Rfam family: Archaeal small subunit ribosomal RNA
Source: RNAcentral